UUGACCUCGGAUCAGGUAGGAAUACCCGCUGAACUUAAGCAUAUCAAUAAGCGGAGGAAAAGAAACCAACAGGGAUUGCCUUAGUAACGGCGAGUGAAGCGGCAAUAGCUCAAAUUUGAAAUCUGGCGGCUUCAGUCGUCCGAGUUGUAAUUUGUAGAGGAUGUUUCGGGUACCGCCUCGGUUUAAAUUUCUUGGAACAGAAUGUCAGAGAGGGUGAGAGUCCCGUCUUGAACCACGGUAGGGCCUAUGUGAAACUCCUUCGACGAGUCGAGUUGUUUGGGAAUGCAGCUCAAAAUGGGUGGUAAAUUUCAUCUAAAGCUAAAUAUUGGCCAGAGACCGAUAGCGCACAAGUAGAGUGAUCGAAAGAUGAAAAGCACUUUGAAAAGAGAGUUAAACAGUAUGUGAAAUUGUUGAAAGGGAAGCGCUUGCAACCAGACUUGUGUCCGGUGGUUCCCCCUUCCUUUUGGUUGGGUUAUUCCACCGGGUCCCAGGCCAACAUCAGUUUGGAGGGUCGGUUAAAGGCUUAGGGAAUGUAUCUUCCGCUUCGGGGGAAGACUUAUAGCCCUAGGUGUCAUGCGACCUCCCCGGACUGAGGAACGCGCUUCGGCGAGGAUGUUGGCGUAAUGGUUGUAAGCGACCCGUCUUGAAACACGGACCAAGGAGUCUAACAUCUAUGCGAGUGUUCGGGUGUCAAACCCUUACGCGUAAUGAAAGUGAACGGAGGUAAGAAGGCCUGAGCCUGCAUUAUCGACCGAUCCUGAUGUCUUCGGAUGGAUUUGAGUAAGAGCAUAGCUGUUGGGACCCGAAAGAUGGUGAACUAUGCGUGAAUAGGGUGAAGCCAGAGGAAACUCUGGUGGAGGCUCGCAGCGGUUCUGACGUGCAAAUCGAUCGUCAAAUUUGCGUAUAGGGGCG
This 912-nucleotide ribosomal RNA is filed under the name Chaetothyriales sp. Pet1W-4b. Its description in RNAcentral is "eukaryotic LSU rRNA". It matches the Rfam family "Eukaryotic large subunit ribosomal RNA", at positions 1 to 925 of the family's 3401-position model. The record is from RNAcentral. Lineage: Eukaryota; Fungi; Ascomycota; Eurotiomycetes; Chaetothyriales.